GUGCUCACUUCGGCAGCACAUAUGCUAAAAUUGCAAUGAUACAGAAAAGAUUAGCAUGGCCCCUGCACAAGGAUGACACGCAAAUUCGUGAAGUGUUCCAUAUUUCU
Sarcophilus harrisii (Tasmanian devil) is the source of this 107-nucleotide small nuclear RNA. The record is from Ensembl. NCBI's taxonomy places the organism in Eukaryota, Metazoa, Chordata, Mammalia, Dasyuromorphia, Dasyuridae.